This 494-nucleotide ribosomal RNA is filed under the name uncultured bacterium. RNAcentral's name for it is "partial 16S ribosomal RNA". It matches the Rfam family "Bacterial small subunit ribosomal RNA", at positions 28 to 507 of the family's 1533-position model. The record is from RNAcentral.
GACGAACGCUGGCGGCGUGCUUAACACAUGCAAGUCGAACGGAAAGGCCUGCCUUCCCUUGUAGAUUGCGGGUACUCGAGUGGCGAACGGGUGAGUAACACGUGAGUGAUCUGCCCCCAACUUGGGAAUAAGCCUGGGAAACUGGGUCUAAUUCCCGAUAGGACUGCAGGGUGGUGCCUGUGGUGGAAAACGAUUUUCUAGUGGUUGGGGAUGAGCUCGCGGCCUAUCAGCUUGUUGGUGGGGUAAUGGCCUACCAAGGCGGCGACGGGUAGCCGGCCUGAGAGGGUGGACGGCCACAGUGGGACUGAGAUACGGCCCAGACUCCGACGAGAGGCAGCAGUGGGGAAUAUUGGACAAUGGGCGGAAGCCUGAUGCAGCGACGCCGCGUGGGGGAUGACGGGCUUCGGGUUGUAAGCUCCUUUCGACCGCGAGGAAGCCACCUGGUUGGAAGGGUGGUGACGGUAGUGGUAGAAGAAGCACCGGCUAACUACGUG